This 353-nucleotide ribosomal RNA is filed under the name uncultured bacterium. Its description in RNAcentral is "bacterial SSU rRNA". It matches the Rfam family "Bacterial small subunit ribosomal RNA", at positions 28 to 384 of the family's 1533-position model. The record is from RNAcentral.
GAUGAACGCUAGCGGGAGGCCUAACACAUGCAAGCCGAGCGGUAUUGUUUCUUCGGAAAUGAGAGAGCGGCGUACGGGUGCGGAACACGCGUGCAACCUACCUUUAUCUGGAGGAUAGCCUUUCGAAAGGAAGAUUAAUACUCCAUAAUAUAUUGAUUGGCAUCAGUUGAUAUUGAAAGCUCCGGCGGAUAAAGAUGGGCACGCGCAAGAUUAGCUAGUUGGUGAGGUAACGGCUCACCAAGGCGAUGAUCUUUAGGGGCCUGAGAGGGUGAUCCCCCACACUGGUACUGAGACACGGACCAGACUCCUACGGGAGCAGGCAGUGAGGAAUAUUGGUCAAUGGGUGCAAGCCU